Molecule: unclassified non-coding RNA, 87 nt
Filed under: Pseudomonas sp. LAMO17WK12:I1
Lineage: Bacteria; Pseudomonadati; Pseudomonadota; Gammaproteobacteria; Pseudomonadales; Pseudomonadaceae
Source: RNAcentral
GUGGGAGGGGGCUUGCUCCCGAUGGCGGAGUGUCAGUCGAUACAUGGCUGGCUGACACACCGCAAUCGGGAGCAAGCCCCCUCCCAC